UNAAUUUANAACCUAAAGAAUUUGGCGGUUCUUAAACUUACUAGAGGAACCUGUCCUAUAAUCGAUAGUCCACGAUAUUAUUUACCUAUCUUAGUUAUCAGCUUAUAUACCGCCGUUUAGUGAAUUAAUAAUAAUUUCCCUCAAUUAAUUAGUUAAGGAAAUCAGGUCAAGGUGUAGUUUAUAGAUAGGAAGAGAUGGGUUACAAUAAUACUUUAUUACGGAUAGUAAACCCUAGGUUAAGCUUGAAGGUGGAUUUAGAAGUAAAUUUUACUGAUUUGAAGCAAGCUCUUNAGAAUGUACACAU
RNAcentral lists this ribosomal RNA (304 nucleotides) under Streptocephalus sealii. Its description in RNAcentral is "partial 12S ribosomal RNA". The record is from RNAcentral. Lineage: Eukaryota; Metazoa; Arthropoda; Branchiopoda; Anostraca; Streptocephalidae.